ACGAACGCUGGCGGCGUGCUUAACACAUGCAAGUCGAACGGAAAGGCCCUGCUUUUGUGGGGUUCUCGAGUGGCGAACGGGUGAGUAACACGUGAGUAACCUGCCCUUGACUUUGGGAUAACUUCAGGAAACUGGGGCUAAUACCGGAUAGGAGCUCCUGCUGCAUGGUGGGGGUUGGAAAGUUUCGGCGGUUGGGGAUGGACUCGCGGCUUAUCAGCUUGUUGGUUGGGUAGUGGCUUACCAAGGCUUUGACGGGUAGCCGGCCUGAGAGGGUGACCGGCCACAUUGGGACUGAGAUACGGCCCAGACUCCUACGGGAGGCAGCAGUGGGGAAUAUUGCACAAUGGGCGGAAGCCUGAUGCAGCAACGCCGCGUGCGGGAUGACGGCCUUCGGGUUGUAAACCGCUUUCGCCUGUGACGAAGCGUGAGUGACGGUAAUGGGUAAAGAAGCACCGGCUAACUACGUG
This 467-nucleotide ribosomal RNA is filed under the name uncultured bacterium. RNAcentral's name for it is "partial 16S ribosomal RNA". It matches the Rfam family "Bacterial small subunit ribosomal RNA", at positions 29 to 507 of the family's 1533-position model. The record is from RNAcentral.